AUUUUUUUUUAUUUCUCUCCUUUCUUUCCCCACGUAUACGAGAGGGGGCUUCGGGCCAAUCAGUUCAUUUCUCGCGGCCACGGAUUUAAACUGGCCAGCCCGGGCGACGCCACUGAGAUGAUUGCGCCGCGCAAGGAAUGGCGGGCCCAUUGCACACGGCCCGCAACUACCGCCGCCGCCGCACAGCUGAUCGGGUCCGGAGAUAGCGGCGCCGACCGGUCGGUCGCUCCAUUGUUCGAGCCCAGAAUAAAAGGAGCUCGCCUUAAUUGGAAGAAGGCCGCAUGUGCGAGCAGCUGUCCGCCCGCCGAAGAAAGACUAAAAGCGCUUCCUGAACGCAUAAUUGCUCGCGCGGCUGAUGAGGAAGAUCGUCGACGAGGUGGGCCCGCGGCAAUCGGGAAGAGAGUGCAACGACUGCUGAUUGCCUUCAUGGGAGACACGGGGCUCUUCGAGAGCUGGUGACACGCCCCUUAUCUAAACUCACAGGAGGUUCGGGCGGAACAAUUGCCGACUAUGUAUGCCAGGCGCCCCGCCUGCUGAAAACACCACCGUCACUACCAGGCUAACAUUUAGAGAUUUCCUCCUCCGCGUUCUCCUGACCGAUGGAAGUCACUCUUUGCUCAGCUCGGCGAGUAAGACCUCGAGCUUCGCGGUGUGCUACCUCGUUGAGGUUGACUGCGGGAAUGUCUGGAGUCGUAUGCGCUGGGAACCAGAGCAAUUGCCUGCCGUUCUUCUCUGCAUCGGAGAACUUUGCUUCAUUGACUCUGAUGAUGUGCUGCGUCUGCUCUUUAUUACUGCGUGCGGGCUUGUCACGGCAUGUCAAGUACUCGCGCGCAAGGCCGGCACCGGUACUGCACUUACGCCGGACGUACUUGCACACUGGCGUGCCCACAAGGAAAGAAGACGGCUUCCGUGCUACACGGCGGAAGAGCUGCCAUCUAUACAAACAAGUUGCGCAUGCAGCGUGCAAAACGGCAGCCGCACCAGCCAUCAGGAACUUGCUGUGGGAGUGCUCAGAGUAUGCAGCCCUCCGAAGAAAGCACCGGGGGCAAGUGGCCAGCUUCGAGGAGUGGAUCCGUCCCUCAGCGGAGGCCGACAGUGUUCUGCAAGCGCUGUUCGCAUUUGCUGCGGAAUCGGGCGUCCUCCGCACAGUGCAACCAUGGGGGGAACCAUGGUUGGGAACCAUGGUGCAACCGUGUGGGGGAAGCAUUCCUCGGUGGCUGGCCCGUCCUCAUCUCUCAAUUCCCCAACCCUUAAUAGGCCGAUGAGCCAUCCCUUUCUCAAUGAAGCGGCCCCGUAUCAUUAUAACUUCUGUAGCUGCGCCUAGCUGACCUCUAAAGUGGAGCCGAUAAAAGGCGACACGAGUAACAAAACUUACAUAUUACUGGCUAAAAAAACCACGCAAAGGAGGUGUUGUCUAUUCGUGUGAGGUGUACGUAAGGCAACUUUUAUUUUAUAGUCGUGGAUAAUUACUUUCCAAAGCAAAAAUUCAGGACUUCGACGCAGAUUGCGCUGCUGGUUGAUAGCGAGCCUCGCCAUCCUACGGCAUUCGCCGCUGAAAUCCUCACAACAGCUUUGCUGUAAAAAAAAGAAAACCAAAGCGAAAUAAGGCUUGGGUUGCCUGAAAACUAUAUUUACACGCAACAUGGUCAAUAUCCAUGUUUGAUAUUCAUGUCUGUCUCAUAUGACAACGGUCAAUAUUGAACGCGCUGAUCCAGGACACUUGCGCGACAUGAGUGCGCCCACUUGAACGGUUAAAGUUCGGCCGGAAGCUGCUACGGCAAGCAAAUUCUUUGAACGUGAGAACAACCAAACAAACAAACAAAUCAAAAUAAACAAAUAAAGUAAGAAAAAUAAAGGGGGGGGGGGCGGUGUUGGGUGCGAAAGGGGGGGUUGUUCGAUCUACAAUGCAGCAGUGCCGUAAAUCAUGCUUCAUGGUCGCAAUCCUCUUCGAAUUCUGGUUUGAAAAGCACAUUGCAAUACUCUAGCAAACGCGACGGUCAGAGUGACAUGCCUAGACACGUGAAUCUCAUCUCGGAAAUAAAUUUAUUGUUGAAAGUUA
Molecule: RNA transcript, 2059 nt
Organism: Dermacentor albipictus
Lineage: Eukaryota; Metazoa; Arthropoda; Arachnida; Ixodida; Ixodidae
Source: RefSeq, a predicted model, not a curated record